UAACAAGGAUUCCCCUAGUAACUGCGAGUGAAGCGGGAAAAGCUCAAAUUUAAAAUCUGGCGGUUUUGCCGUCCGAGUUGUAAUCUGGAGAAGCGUUUUCCGCGUCGGACCGUGUACAAGUCUCUUGGAACAGAGCGUCAUAGAGGGUGAGAAUCCCGUCCAUGACACGGACCCCCGGUGCUUUGUGAUACGCUCUCGAAGAGUCGAGUUGUUUGGGAAUGCAGCUCAAAAUGGGUGGUAAAUUCCAUCUAAAGCUAAAUAUUGGCGAGAGACCGAUAGCGAACAAGUACCGUGAGGGAAAGAUGAAAAGCACUUUGGAAAGAGAGUUAAACAGUACGUGAAAUUGUUGAAAGGGAAACGCUUGAAGUCAGUCGCGUCUUACGGGACUCAGCCUUGCCUCGGCUUGGUGUACUUCCUGUAGGACGGGUCAACAUCGAUUUUGACCGGUGGACAAAGGGGAUGGGAAUGUGGCAAUCUUCGGGUUGUGUUAUAGCCCUCUUCCGUAUACAUCGGUUGGGAUCGAGGACCGCAGCGCGCCUUUAUGGCCGGGGGCUUGCCCCACGUACCGCGCUUAGGAUGUUGGCAUAAUGGCUUUAAGCGACCCGUCUUGAAACACGGACCAAGGAGUCUAACAUGCUUGCGAGUGUUAGGGUGGAAAACCCUUGCGCGUAAUGAAAGUGAAAGUUGAGAGCCUUCUUUUGGAGGUGCAUCGACGCCCGGCCCUGAAGUUCUCUGACGGUGCUGCGGUAGAGCACGUAUGUUGGGACCCGAAAGAUGGUGAACUAUGCCUGAAUAGGGCGAAGCCAGAGGAAACUCUGGUGGAGGCUCGUAGCGAUUCUGACGUGCAAAUCGAUCGUCAAAUUUGGG
Molecule: ribosomal RNA, 867 nt
Filed under: Coniferiporia qilianensis
Lineage: Eukaryota; Fungi; Basidiomycota; Agaricomycetes; Hymenochaetales; Hymenochaetaceae
Description: LSU rRNA
Rfam family: Eukaryotic large subunit ribosomal RNA
Source: RNAcentral